RNAcentral lists this ribosomal RNA (346 nucleotides) under uncultured bacterium. RNAcentral's name for it is "partial 16S ribosomal RNA". It matches the Rfam family "Bacterial small subunit ribosomal RNA", at positions 338 to 676 of the family's 1533-position model. The record is from RNAcentral.
CCUACGGGUGGCUGCAGUGGGGAAUAUUGCGCAAUGGGCGAAAGCCUGACGCAGCGACGCCGCGUGAGGGAUGAAGGUCUUCGGAUCGUAAACCUCGGUCAGCAGGGAAGAACGGGCACGGUGCUAAGCAGCAGUGAAGGGACGGUACCUGCAAAGGAAGCACCGGCUAACUCCGUGCCAGCAGCCGCGGUAAUACGGAGGGUGCGAGCGUUAAUCGGAAUUACUGGGCGUAAAGCGCGCGUAGGCGGUAUGUCAAGGCAAGGGUGAAAUCCCCGCGCUCAACGUGGGAACUGCCUUUGAUACUGGCCAACUGGAGUGUGUGAGCGGCUAGUGGACUUCCCGGUGU